GAAAGGUCUGGUUCCUGGAAUCAAGCUAGAAAUGACUGCAGAGACAGAGGAGCAGAUCUGGUGGUUAUUGACUGCGCUAAAGAACAGAACUUUCUCACUACAAUCAUCAAAGAAAACACUUGGAUUGGUUUGACUGACAAUGGAAUGGAGGGACAGUGGAAAUGGGUAGAUGGAACUCCACUGACUCUGGCGAACUGGGCAACAAAUGAACCCAAUAAUGGAGGCUCACUGACCAGUGAAGAAGAUUGUGUGCAUAUAAGAGCUGAAGAUCAGAGGACUUGGAAUGAUAUUUCAUGUACAGCUUCUAUGAAAUGGAUCUGUAAAAAAAUACCAUGACACCACUGUACAGUUUCUUAGAGAGCAUGUAUUUCUACAUGCUCUGACAUUUUAACUGUGAUUCUUGUUCUAUUCUGCAUUUCAAUUUAAUGUUGUACUCUGUUCUGACUGCGUACAUUUAGGUACAAAAUUAUAUUCAUGGCAAAAAUAACCAGUGGUUGUAUGUUAUUUGUUUAGCAGACAGUAUUUAAUUCAGAGAAUCAAGCACAGUGCCUUAUUAAGAAACAUACAAAGAUUGUAAGUGCUGGUAAAAAACAAACAAACCAAAUUUAAAAAAAGAAGAAGAAGAAGAAGAAAAGAGUGCACUGUAAAAAAAAAAAAGUAACA
Long non-coding RNA from Oreochromis aureus, 663 nucleotides. RefSeq lists it as uncharacterized. The record is from RefSeq and is a predicted model, not a curated record. The transcript has 3 exons. NCBI's taxonomy places the organism in Eukaryota, Metazoa, Chordata, Actinopteri, Cichliformes, Cichlidae.